This 580-nucleotide ribosomal RNA is filed under the name uncultured rumen bacterium. RNAcentral describes it as "bacterial SSU rRNA". It matches the Rfam family "Bacterial small subunit ribosomal RNA", at positions 185 to 765 of the family's 1533-position model. The record is from RNAcentral.
GCCGCAUGGCCGGGCCGGGAAAGGCGAGCCGGAAGGGGAUGGGCAUGCGGCGCAUUAGCUAGUUGGCGGGGCAGAGGCCCACCAAGGCGACGAUGCGUAGGGGUUCUGAGAGGAAGGUCCCCCACAUUGGUACUGAGACACGGACCAAACUCCUACGGGAGGCAGCAGUGAGGAAUAUUGGUCAAUGGGCGGGAGCCUGAACCAGCCAAGUCGCGUGAGGGAGGAAGGUCCUACGGAUUGUAAACCUCUUUAGCCGGGGAGCAACGUGCGCCACGCGUGGCGCAGUGAGAGUACCCGGAGAAUAAGCAUCGGCUAACUCCGUGCCAGCAGCCGCGGUAAUACGGAGGAUGCGAGCGUUAUCCGGAUUUAUUGGGUUUAAAGGGUGCGCAGGCGGCGCGAAAAGUCAGCGGUCAAAGUUCCGGGCUCAACCCGGUGACGCCGUUGAAACUUUCGAGCUGGAGUUCGUGCGAGGGAGGCGGAAUGCGUUGUGUAGCGGUGAAAUGCAUAGAUAUGACGCAGAACCCCGAUUGCGAAGGCAGCUUUCCAGCACGCGACUGACGCUGAGGCACGAAAGCGUGGG